GAUGAACGCUGGCGGCGUGCCUAAUACAUGCAAGUCGAGCGAACAGACGAGGAGCUUGCUCCUCUGACGUUAGCGGCGGACGGGUGAGUAACACGUGGAUAACCUACCUAUAAGACUGGGAUAACUUCGGGAAACCGGAGCUAGUACCGGAUAAUAUAUUGAACCGCAUGGUUCAAUAGUGAAAGACGGUUUUGCUGUCACUUAUAGAUGGAUCCGCGCCGCAUUAGCUAGUUGGUAAGGUAACGGCUUACCAAGGCAACGAUGCGUAGCCGACCUGAGAGGGUGAUCGGCCACACUGGAACUGAGACACGGUCCAGACUCCUACGGGAGGCAGCAGUAGGGAAUCUUCCGCAAUGGGCGAAAGCCUGACGGAGCAACGCCGCGUGAGUGAUGAAGGUCUUCGGAUCGUAAAACUCUGUUAUUAGGGAAGAACAAAUGUGUAAGUAACUAUGCACGUCUUGACGGUACCUAAUCAGAAAGCCACGGCUAACUACAUG
RNAcentral lists this ribosomal RNA (497 nucleotides) under uncultured bacterium. Its description in RNAcentral is "partial 16S ribosomal RNA". It matches the Rfam family "Bacterial small subunit ribosomal RNA", at positions 28 to 507 of the family's 1533-position model. The record is from RNAcentral.